CCCUUUGUGAACAUACCUAUAACUGUCUGCUUCGGCGGGUAGGGUCUCCGUGACCCUCCCGGCCUCCCGCCCCCGGGCGGGUCGGCGCCCGCCGGAGGAUAACCAAACUCUGAUUUAACGACGUUUCUUCUGAGUGGUACAAGCAAAUAAUCAAAACUUUUAACAACGGAUCUCUUGGUUCUGGCAUCGAUGAAGAACGCAGCGAAAUGCGAUAAGUAAUGUGAAUUGCAGAAUUCAGUGAAUCAUCGAAUCUUUGAACGCACAUUGCGCCCGCCAGCAUUCUGGCGGGCAUGCCUGUUCGAGCGUCAUUUCAACCCUCAAGCUCUGCUUGGUGUUGGGGCCCUACAGCUGAUGUAGGCCCUCAAAGGUAGUGGCGGACCCUCCCGGAGCCUCCUUUGCGUAGUAACUUUACGUCUCGCACUGGGAUCCGGAGGGACUCUUGCCGUAAAACCCCCAAUUUUCCAAAGGUUGACCUCGGAUCAGGUAGGAAUACCCGCUGAACUUAAGCAUAUCAAUAAGCGGAGGAAAAGAAACCAACAGGGAUUGCCUCAGUAACGGCGAGUGAAGCGGCAACAGCUCAAAUUUGAAAUCUGGCCCUAGGCCCGAGUUGUAAUUUGCAGAGGAUGCUUUUGGUGCGGUGCCUUCCAAGUUCCCUAGAACGGGACGCCAGAGAGGGUGAGAGCCCCGUACAGUUGGACACCAAGCCUUUGUAAAGCUCCUUCGACGAGUCGAGUAGUUUGGGAAUGCUGCUCAAAAUGGGAGGUAUAUUUCUUCUAAAGCUAAAUACCGGCCAGAGACCGAUAGCGCACAAGUAGAGUGAUCGAAAGAUGAAAAGCACUUUGAAAAGAGGGUUAAACAGCACGUGAAAUUGUUAAAAGGGAAGCGCUUGUGACCAGACUUGCGUCCGGUGAAUCACCCAGCUCUCGCGGCUGGGGCACUUCGCCGGCUCAGGCCAGCAUCAGCUCGCUGUCGGGGACAAAAGCUUCAGGAACGUAGCUCUCUUCGGGGAGUGUUAUAGCCUGUUGCAUAAUACCCUUCGGCGGGCUGAGGUACGCG
RNAcentral lists this ribosomal RNA (1056 nucleotides) under fungal endophyte. RNAcentral describes it as "eukaryotic LSU rRNA". The stretch from base 470 to 1056 matches the Rfam family "Eukaryotic large subunit ribosomal RNA", at positions 1 to 599 of the family's 3401-position model. The record is from RNAcentral. Lineage: Eukaryota; Fungi.